Pan troglodytes (chimpanzee) is the source of this 390-nucleotide long non-coding RNA. RefSeq lists it as uncharacterized. NCBI's taxonomy places the organism in Eukaryota, Metazoa, Chordata, Mammalia, Primates, Hominidae. The record is from RefSeq and is a predicted model, not a curated record. The transcript has 4 exons.
CCUCCUGCUCUUUGCUCCAUGAGAAAGAUCCACCUACGACCUCAGGUCCUCAGACCGACCAGCCCAAGGAACAUCUCACCAAUUUUAAAUCUGAUCGUCUCUGCUUAGCAGCUGAAGAGUGACACUGCCUGAUUGCCUCGGAAGCCUACAGGACCAUCACAGAUGCUCUGAGUAACUCUUACAGUGGAGGGGUGGGGCCAUGUGCCCCAUGGGAAUCUGAGUUCAGAUGCAGUUUCUUCUCCUGGGAGAAAAGAUGAAUGAGAGGCUGAUUCUAGCUGGCUCCUAGCCUGUGAAUUCACAUCAUGGGGAACCUGCUACUCUGUCUGGAGUCUGUAACAGGAGGGCUGAAAGCUGUGGUUGGUGUGCUUCCAGAAGAAUAUAGAAAUAUCG